This 1730-nucleotide long non-coding RNA is filed under the name Gossypium barbadense (sea-island cotton). RNAcentral describes it as "long non-coding RNA (GBAR_LNC008754)". The record is from RNAcentral. Lineage: Eukaryota; Viridiplantae; Streptophyta; Magnoliopsida; Malvales; Malvaceae.
GCUGCUGACUGAAUCUAUUUUAUGGUAAAUUUUACCUAUUUCAUGGUUUCCAUGGAUUAGCUAGCAAUUUAGCAUACAUAACACCAAAUAUGAUCAUGAUUAGCCAUUCCAAUGGCUAAUCAUUACCAAGCAUUUCCACACCACUCAAUAACCAUAUCAUAAGACCAUAUAUACAAAAUGAUUAUAAUGCUAUACAUGCCAAACUCAAAAUAUACAAGCCAUUAUGCCAAGAUGGUAUACGGAUAGUGUGAGCGAGCCUCCGACCGUUCCCGAUUUCCGAGCUGGCUUGUCAAAACUACAAGGAAUGAAAAGAAGGGAGUAAGCAUAAAUGCUUAGCAAGUUCACAUGCAAAUAGCAAGUAACAUAACCAUAUAAGCAAACAUAAAACAUCAUUUGCAUAAUCAUCACCAAGACAUUCAUAUCACAUUUUCAUUUAUCAUCUUACCAUAUUGUUGUUAUAUCGAUUUUUCAACCCGAGGGUUAAGUACAUACCUGUUCAAAGUACCCAUUUCACAACACUUACCAAUACGUCCCUUUCAUCUUAAGUAUUCCUCCAUUUCAGUAGAACUUUACCCGUUGAACACAUCGGAAUAUAAUUCGGAUACAUGGAAAGUUUGCACAUAAGUGCCACAUAUGUAGCCAAGCUACCAUGUAACCCGCCCAUAAGUGAACUCGGACUCAACUCAACGAGCUCGGGCGUUCGCAUCCAUAAGUGAACUCGGACUCAACUCAACGAGCUCGGAUGCCUAGUUACAUCUCUCGAACUCGGACUCAACUCAACGAGUUCGGACAUUUGCAUCCAUAAGUGAACUCGGACUCAACUCAACGAGUUCGGAUGCCCAAACAUCCUAGUGACAUGUCACUUGUAUCCUAAUCUAUUCCUAAGGUUCAAACGGGCGUUUUCCUUGAUCACACAUCUUUGCCAUCUUCCACGGAAUAUCGAAAUUGAUACUUCGAUGAUAGUUCAUACUCAUCAAGUAAUUCACAUAAUUACAUAUUAUUCAACAAUAACCACAAAGCAUAAUAUUUCAUGAUAAUAAUCAGCAUCAUAUCAUAUAAACAACAUUAAAUUGCUUAAAAUGACAAUUAUGUUACUACAUUUACACAUGAACUUACCUCGUAUGCGAAAAUGGCUACUUUUACCAUUUCGUCCGCAACUUGGUAUUUUCCCCAUUUUAGCCCGAAUUUUAGUUUUCCUUGCUCUAUCAUUUAAAAUAUAGUCUAAUUAGGACUCACAUUAUUCAAAUUGACCCAAAAUAAUAUUUUGGAAAAAUUACAAUUUUGCCCCUAAAUUUUUGCAUAUUUACACUUUUUCCCCAAAGCUCGUAAAUUAAACUUCAGCCUAUUUUCUUAUGUUUUAUGACAUGCUGAUCAUUUUUCCCUUCUAUGGCAACAUCAAAUUCUCACUCUAACAUGUACUUAUGACUAUUAGGUAUUUUUACCGAUUAAGCCCUUUUGCUAGUUUUCGCUUAAAACCGAGUAGCACAAGUUGUCUAACAUAAUUUAAAACCUCAUAUUCUAUCAUAAAACACCAAAACACACAAAUUUCACCUAUGGGUAUUUUUCCAAAUAUGAACCCUAGGUUGAAUUAUUGCUAGCAUAAGCUUAAUUGAGCUACCGGGACUCCAAAAACGUAAAAAUCAUUAAAAACGAGGCUAGAACGGACUUACAAUCGAGCUUGGAAGCUUGAAAAACCCUAGCCAUGGUUUCUCCUUGCUAUAUUCGGCCAU